AGUUGGUGGGGUGACCCGUCUGGUUAAUUUCGAUAACGAACGAGAUCCGAGCUGUUUAGUUGGCCACAGUGACUUCGGUACACUGCGUGUCUCCUAUAUGGACUGUCAGUUUGAGGCUGAAGGAAGUUUCGGGCUAAAUCAGGU
Molecule: ribosomal RNA, 144 nt
Filed under: Apicomplexa sp.
Lineage: Eukaryota; Apicomplexa
Description: partial small subunit ribosomal RNA
Rfam family: Eukaryotic small subunit ribosomal RNA
Source: RNAcentral